Molecule: ribosomal RNA, 253 nt
Filed under: uncultured bacterium
Lineage: Bacteria
Description: partial 16S ribosomal RNA
Rfam family: Bacterial small subunit ribosomal RNA
Source: RNAcentral
UACGAAGGGGGCUAGCGUUGCUCGGAAUUACUGGGCGUAAAGCGCACGUAGGCGGCUCUUUAAGUCGGGGGUGAAAUCCUGGAGCUCAACUCCAGAACUGCCUUCGAUACUGAAGAGCUCGAGUCCGGGAGAGGUGAGUGGAACUGCGAGUGUAGAGGUGAAAUUCGUAGAUAUUCGCAAGAACACCAGUGGCGAAGGCGGCUCACUGGCCCGAUACUGACGCUGAGGUGCGAAAGCGUGGGGAGCAAACGGG